Molecule: ribosomal RNA, 424 nt
Filed under: Capnocytophaga sp. oral taxon B29
Lineage: Bacteria; Pseudomonadati; Bacteroidota; Flavobacteriia; Flavobacteriales; Flavobacteriaceae
Description: bacterial SSU rRNA
Rfam family: Bacterial small subunit ribosomal RNA
Source: RNAcentral
GAUGAACGCUAGCGGCAGGCCUAACACAUGCAAGUCGAGGGAUAAGCCCUUCGGGGUGGAAACCGGCGCACGGGUGCGUAACGCGUAUGCAACCUACCUUUCACAGGGGGAUAGCCCGAAGAAAUUUGGAUUAAUACCCCAUAAUAUUGUUGGAUGGCAUCAUCUGAUAAUUAAAGUUACGAUGGUGAAAGAUGGGCAUGCGUCCUAUUAGCUAGUUGGAGUGGUAACGGCACCCCAAGGCUACGAUAGGUAGGGGUCCUGAGAGGGAGAUCCCCCACACUGGUACUGAGACAGGGAUCAGACUCCUACGGGAGGCAGCAGUGAGGAAUAUUGGUCAAUGGUCGAAAGACUGAACCAGCCAUGCCGCGUGCAGGACAGACGGCCCUAGAGGUUGUAAAACUGCUUUUAUAUGGAAGAAUAAAGG